CUGGAGACUUGAGAACAAACGCCGCUUGAACAAUGUGGGCACCAAGCCCAAAACUGCCAAGUUGCCUUUGGGAAUGCAGACACUUAACUGUGUUCCUGGAUGGAUAACAAAACAGACUGCUUUCCUCUUCUCCUACCUCCCCUGUAAUAAAUAGUCAAAGAUGCAUCAUGUGAAAAUACUGCGUCUGGGCUUUGAGACCAUAUGCUGACACUGAGAAUCUGAAAUGGGCUGACUCAUGGGUCUUGUGAAUUUUUUCUUCAUUGUCCUGAUUAAUAAGAGUAGCCAUUUUGACUAGAAACAAAGUUGGAUAAGGGAUGAGGUCAUGGCACCUUGAACCUGAAAACCAAAAUGGAAAUCCUGGCUGUCUGUUAAUGGCUGUGAAAUCUUGGGUAGGGGGCUCUAAUUUUCUGUGCCCCCCAGAAUAUCAAAGAAAAACAGUUGGCGAGGCCUUCAGCACAUGUGCAGCAAAUAUCCACAGGCCUGUCUCAGGAAAUUUGAGGCUGGGCCUUUGCCUGACUCUGUUGCUGCUGCCGCCUUUGCUACCGCUGACACUUGGAACCGCCGCCUCCGCGCAGCGGCCAGACGCGGGGCCCGGAGCGGUCUACGCAGUCGGAGGAGGGCACCGACAUUGUCUUUCUCUCCACCGUGCGGCACCGGACCGCCACCCACGCAGGGGAGUCUGGGCCUGCGCCCCCCGCCCGCGCCCGCCGCAGGUGAGACUCCCGCUCCCCACGGAGUUCUGUUUGGGUUUCCGUGGCGUUUGUUCCCCGCAGGUUUGUUUGUUUUUCUUCAAAUUACAGAUGCAGGGAAAACCGCCUGACAUCAUGAGAGCGGGACAAACGCUCACUUUGAAGGAUUCCUGGGCAGGACUUCAAGUGAAAUCAUAUGCCUGAGAAGAACUUGAUACCGGUCUAGAGAAAAUAACCAGUUCUGAGUUUGCCAAACCGUGGAAUGUGCAAAAUGCUCGACUUUUUUGCAAGAGGCCAAGUGUCCCUUAAAAAGCUCCAUUAUGAAUAUGAGCCUGAAGACUGCAGGAGCAAGAAGCUUGUGCCGUUGUUGAGUGUGGGAAAAAAGUACACACAGUAUGUGAGUUGUUGCUAUUUAACAUUAUUUUAUUAAUAAUUUGUACCACUUUAGAGAGGAUACCUGCAACUGUGUAUGAAUUUAUCAUCUGUGCAUGUGCUUAGCAAGUGUGUGCACAAAGAAGGAAAAUAAAUGUGUGUGUAUAAGAAAAUUUACUUUCUUA
This 1246-nucleotide long non-coding RNA is filed under the name Felis catus (domestic cat). RNAcentral's name for it is "lncRNA (ENSFCAG00000052751.1)". Lineage: Eukaryota; Metazoa; Chordata; Mammalia; Carnivora; Felidae. The record is from RNAcentral.